Long non-coding RNA from Sebastes umbrosus (honeycomb rockfish), 351 nucleotides. RefSeq lists it as uncharacterized. The record is from RefSeq and is a predicted model, not a curated record. Lineage: Eukaryota; Metazoa; Chordata; Actinopteri; Perciformes; Sebastidae. The transcript is spliced from 2 exons.
UCUUCCGACCACUCAAAGCGCUUUACACUACAUGUCAGUAUUCACCCAUUCACACACACAUUCACACACUGAUGUCAGAGGCUACUGAGGUGCCAAUUUUGCACAUCAGGAUCUAAUCUAAAUACUCACUUUACAAUACAUUGAGAGCACACCGGACAACCGGACACUGUCUCAAAUAUAUGACUGGAUGGUGAGAUCCAUCCCCUAGUUCAAAGACAAAGGAGACAGCAACAGCUCUGCAGGAUGGAAGGGUUAAUGAGUGGAGAUCCAGACCCCCAGCAUGGACACGAGCUUUGAGAGCACAGCAGAGGCCACUGAGUAUUUCAUCUCAUAAAACAUUGAAGACAAAAA